This is a long non-coding RNA of Ipomoea nil (Japanese morning glory), 370 nucleotides long. RefSeq lists it as uncharacterized. Lineage: Eukaryota; Viridiplantae; Streptophyta; Magnoliopsida; Solanales; Convolvulaceae. The transcript is spliced from 3 exons. The record is from RefSeq and is a predicted model, not a curated record.
AGUGCCGCGACUGUUUCUUCGUUCCAACGCCCGCCUAGUGGUUUUUCUCCCAAACCAACACCACAGGCCUUCUUGGAACCUCUUCGCGAGCCUAGGGCUAAAGUCUCGUCGCCGUCCGCUACCGCAUGCGCCACCAGCCAUCGCCGUCCGCUACCACACGCGCCACUAGCCGUCGUUGGAAUGAUGUUUGGUUGCAGCAUGGGAGGUUUGCAUUCGAUUGGCACUUCUCCAAUAGUGUCGAAUAGGGUCACGAUGAUGAAGGUAGGACUCUCAUUGACAUAAUAAAUAAUAUUCUCCUUUCCCGUGCUAGACUGGUUAAGAAAUUUACUCUAGUGAUUGAUAAUUAUUAUCCUGAUUUGCGACAGAUCGA